CAGCAGCCGCGGUAAUACGAGGGGGGCAAGCGUUGUUCGGAAUUAUUGGGCGUAAAGGGUGCGUAGGCGGUUUGACAAGUCUUAUGUGAAAUCUCUGGGCUCAACCCGGAGUCUGCAUGGGAAACUGUCGGGCUUGAGUAUGGGAGAGGUGAGUGGAAUUUCCGGUGUAGCGGUGAAAUGCGUAGAUAUCGGAAGGAACACCUGUGGCGAAAGCGGCUCACUGGACCACAACUGACGCUGAGGCACGAAAGCUAGGGGAGCAAACAGGAUUAGAUACCCCCGUAGUCCCUGUCUCUUAUAC
RNAcentral lists this ribosomal RNA (301 nucleotides) under uncultured bacterium. Its description in RNAcentral is "partial 16S ribosomal RNA". It matches the Rfam family "Bacterial small subunit ribosomal RNA", at positions 509 to 807 of the family's 1533-position model. The record is from RNAcentral.